GGGAUUGCCCUAGUAACGGCGAGUGAAGCGGCAAUAGCUCAAAUUUGAAAUCUGGCCCUCGUGGUCCGAAUUGUAAUUUGUAGAGGAUGCUUUUGGUGCGGUGCCUUCUGAGUUCCCUGGAACGGGACGCCAGAGAGGGUGAGAGCCCCGUACGGUUGGACACCUAUCCUAUAUAUAGCUCCUUCGACGAGUCGAGUAGUUUGGGAAUGCUGCUCUAAAUGGGAGGUAAAUUUCUUCUAAAGCUAAAUACCGGCCAGAGACCGAUAGCGCACAAGUAGAGUGAUCGAAAGAUGAAAAGCACUUUGAAAAGAGGGUUAAAUAGCACGUGAAAUUGUUGAAAGGGAAGCGUUUGCGACCAGACCUUUCCCAGGGGGAUCAUCCGGUGUUCUCACCGGUGCACUUCCCCUGGUUUAGGCCAGCAUCGGUUUCCUUAGGGGGAUAAAGGCUUGGGGAACGUAGCUCUUUCGGGAGUGUUAUAGCCCCUCGCGUAAUACCCCUCGGGGGACCGAGGACCGCGCUCUGCAAGGAUGCUGGCGUAAUGGUCGUCAACGACCCGUCUUGAAACACGGACCAAGGAGUCGAACAUUUGUGCGAGUGUUUGGGUGUUAAACCCUCACGCGUAAUGAAAGUGAACGGAGGUGAGAGCCCUCACGGGUGCAUCAUCGACCGAUCCUGAUGUCUUCGGAUGGAUUUGAGUAAGAGCAUAACUGUUCGGACCCGAAAGAUGGUGAACUAUGCGUGGAUAGGGUGAAGCCAGAGGAAACUCUGGUGGAGGCUCGCAGCGGUUCUGACGUGCAAAUCGAUCGUCAAAUCUGCGCAUGGGGGCGAAAGACUUAUCGAACCAUUAAAACCAGCGGUAAAUUUUAAUUUACUAGGUGGUUAAGAGGCUCCCCGGGAGGGGGGCCUAGGUCCAUGUGCCAGCUUACCCUAUA
This 932-nucleotide ribosomal RNA is filed under the name Hypoxylon sp. Its description in RNAcentral is "partial large subunit ribosomal RNA". It matches the Rfam family "Eukaryotic large subunit ribosomal RNA", at positions 71 to 1443 of the family's 3401-position model. Lineage: Eukaryota; Fungi; Ascomycota; Sordariomycetes; Xylariales; Hypoxylaceae. The record is from RNAcentral.